Molecule: long non-coding RNA, 494 nt
Filed under: Equus asinus (donkey)
Lineage: Eukaryota; Metazoa; Chordata; Mammalia; Perissodactyla; Equidae
Description: lncRNA (ENSEASG00005037104.1)
Source: RNAcentral
GGUGAUAGGGGCCAGCCCAGUGGCGCAGCAGUUAAGUUCACACAUUCCGCUUCUCAGAGGCCCGGAGUUCGCCAGUUCAGAUCCCGGGUGCAAACAUGGCACCGCUUGCCAAAAGCCAUGCUGUGACCCAGAGCCCCUGAAGCCUCCUCCAUCCCAAGCAGAAAACCAGAUGCUGCCAUGGAACCAACACCCAAGCACCAGGCCCAGAACAAGAAGCAGCAUGACCCAAGGGCUGGGCAGGGGCCAAGGCCAAGUGAGGGGACAAUAGGAAGCGGACCAGCAUCCAGCAUCCCUCGAGGAUGGGACCCUGAGGAACUGACGGGUUCCUGGUUGGGAGGUGACCAAGGAAGAGGAGUCCAGAGUGCAGACCUCUGAGGCCAGAGAGAGAGAGCUCCUUGAAGACUGAAGAUUCAGCUGUUUCCUGUAAAAUGUCACUCUUUUGUUCAUUUCCUCCUUGGAGACACGGCAAUCAAUUCUGCUUUACUUGACUUAAG